GGGAUAACUCCGGGAAACCGGGGCUAAUACCGAAUAAUCAGUUUGUUCGCAUGAACAAACUCUGAAAGACGGUUCACGCUGUCACUGCAGGAUGGGCCCGCGGCGCAUUAGCUAGUUGGUGGGAUAACGGCCUACCAAGGCGACGAUGCGUAGCCGACCUGAGAGGGUGAUCGGCCACACUGGGACUGAGACACGGCCCAGACUCCUACGGGAGGCAGCAGUAGGGAAUCUUCCACAAUGGACGAAAGUCUGAUGGAGCAAUGCCGCGUGAGUGAAGAAGGUUUUCGGAUCGUAAAACUCUGUUGUGAGGGAAGAACAAGUACGGGAGUAACUGCCCGUACCUUGACGGUACCUCAUUAGAAAGCCACGGCUAACUACGUGCCAGCAGCCGCGGUAAUACGUAGGUGGCAAGCGUUGUCCGGAAUUAUUGGGCGUAAAGCGCGCGCAGGCGGCCUUUUAAGUCUGAUGUGAAAGCCCACGGCUCAACCGUGGAAGGUCAU
Molecule: ribosomal RNA, 500 nt
Filed under: Bacillus sp. NA-JULY-E-9
Lineage: Bacteria; Bacillati; Bacillota; Bacilli; Caryophanales; Bacillaceae
Description: bacterial SSU rRNA
Rfam family: Bacterial small subunit ribosomal RNA
Source: RNAcentral